Long non-coding RNA from Sinocyclocheilus rhinocerous, 380 nucleotides. RefSeq lists it as uncharacterized. Lineage: Eukaryota; Metazoa; Chordata; Actinopteri; Cypriniformes; Cyprinidae. The transcript is spliced from 3 exons. The record is from RefSeq and is a predicted model, not a curated record.
UGGUAUCUUUAAACUGGAGGCACAAAAGACUUAGAAUCUAUUAAUGCCUUUUCAUAUUUCCGAACAGAAAGACAUCAGCUGUUGCUUCUGUGUUCUACAGGGAGAGGCGGGACAUGUGUGGGACCCUGUGGCUGCAUUGUGAACGAGGAGCUGUUUAUAUUCGGCGGCUGCUGUGAUGAUGGACAGACUAAUGAACUUUACUCCGUCGACCUGCAGGACGAGAGGUUCAGCUGGAGGAGAGUGACGCUUCGGUCCGGAUCGCUGCCGUCGCCACGAGAUAAACUCUCCUGCUGGGUUCAUGAAGGAAGAAUCAUCUACUUUGGUGGAUAUGGCCACAAACCGCUGAGUGCAAUCCACGAUCCGAAGAGCUUCAUUGUGGA